AGAGCAACAGAGCAAGGUGGAGGAGAGAAGCCCUCCUGGUACCCAUCCCCACACCAGCAAGAGGGAGCGCCAGACUCACAGCCUCCCAUCCCCUCCAGCCCCAGCCCACCUGACCUACAUCAGCCACCUUCUGAUUGAUUCUGUUUUUUCCUGGGGAAAAGGCCAAAAAGCCAUCUAGGCCUCAACCCCAGCAUCUCUGAACCUCUGACCCAGCCCUGGACUUCCAAAUUUCAGACUUCUUUCAGCUCCUGCUUCUUCGUCACAGGUACACCAGGGCAUCCAGCACAUUGAUUUGUCCCCACUCGCCUUAGCCUGUCUCCUGCCACAGUUGUCUCAUUUUGGUGAAGUGCGUGUCCAGAUUUCCCCAUGCUCCCAGCUGCAACAUGGAUCUGUGAAAGACAGUACAGCAGAAAAGUAUUCACAUCCUGGCUCUCUCUGCCCUUCAUUGUCUUUAAGCUCUUUAACAACUUUUACUUGGAGAGGAAAACAACUAUCUAGACAGGAACACGGAGCAGCAGAGGGAGAAAUUGUGUCUUUACUGAUUUCAGUCAAUUAUUGCAGUGACCACAUGUCUCAGGAGUGUUGAUGUCCAGAUGAGGGCUGACCCAUGAAAGGUCAGCAAGGAAAAAGGAGGACCUAAACUUUCCUCGGUUUGCAAGUUGUAAAAGACCCAUGGAAUGCCAACUAUCCUUGUCCAUGGACAUGUGGACAGACUGUCCAGUGGCUAUCAUCAAUUUUGCAUCUAUUUGUAAAUUCUAUGUCAGCAUUCCUAUUGUCCUAGCUAUGCGUGGCAUUUUUAAUUCUCCUUUGGGCUGGUUGUAGCAUCUUACUGGUUCCCUCAUUAAUUAAUGAACUAAAUAAAAUCUUUGACAUGUGUUCAUUUUA
Molecule: long non-coding RNA, 885 nt
Filed under: Homo sapiens (human)
Lineage: Eukaryota; Metazoa; Chordata; Mammalia; Primates; Hominidae
Description: uncharacterized LOC105373559 (LOC105373559)
Source: RNAcentral